This 1596-nucleotide long non-coding RNA is filed under the name Homo sapiens (human). RNAcentral describes it as "PREDICTED lncRNA (TCONS_00048774)". Lineage: Eukaryota; Metazoa; Chordata; Mammalia; Primates; Hominidae. The record is from RNAcentral.
AAUGCAGAGAGGAUGCACACUCUGAAGAGGGCAGGCAGCUUCUGCACCGAGGGAGCAAAGGGGCGUGUCAGGGGCAGCUGCUGGAAGGAGGCGCAAGCACCACGGAGAGUCUGGGAUGCCCAGCCAAGGAGCCCUGGAAGGGUUGCCCUGGGGACUGACACUGUGGGCUCUGUGUUUUAGCCAAGUCACCCAGGCAGCUGAACAGAAGAUGGACUGGAGGGAGAAGCCUGGAUGAUCGCUCAGCAACAAAGGAGCCAGAAAAGGCAAGGUGUACACACCGUGUGCAGCAUGGGCGAGCUGCAGGCAUGCAGAACUUCUGAGUCCUAACCAUGGCUGGUGGCUCUUCCAGGAACAUGGUUUCCUGGACCCAAAAGAUGAGGAAACUGAGGCUUGGAGAGGCUCUCUGCCUUUGUCAACCUGGAGAUGCUGGGAAGGAAGUGAGGCCCAUCCCACCUCAGAUGCCUGUCCUCUGUCGUCAGGAGCAUUCUCUUGUUCUUCCGGGCUUGGCCAAGCGGUGGUAAACCCCACAUGUGGUUCUGUGGUUGCCCACACAGUCCUAAAAAUAGCCAACAGGAACCCAGGGGCUCCCCCUUGGUGAGUGGCAGCAGGCCCAGUCCUCAGGCAGCCACCAACCUGCUCACUCCCCACAGGCAAGCAGGUCCUGUCUAGGAAGGGGCUGGGUGGCCUGGGUCCCAUGCAUGAUGAGCCAGAGGCUGUGCCAAGCUUAUAGCAAAUAUUAUUUUAUUUCAUUAUGUUUUCUUACAUCUGUGAUGUGGAGGCCAUAGCUCCACUGGACUCAUGAGGAGACUGAGGCUCAGAGCAAUGAAGUGACCUGCUCAAAGUUAAGGAGCUUCAGUUUGGACCCAAUUUGUUCUGAUCCUAAGGUCACUAUCCUUAAUCCCUCUCCCUGUGGGGUCUUCCCUAUCUUGAGCCUGUGGACAGCUGUGCAGUGGCAAGAAAAAGGCCUUCAGAGCUACGCAGACCUGGCUUCAAAUCCCAGCCUCCCUGAUGAGCCCUGGUGGUCUUGCAUGCUUGCCCUUGGGACUCAGACACCAUAUUGUGAGGAAGCCCAAGCUACAUGCAGAGGCCACUAUAGUUGUUCUGGCCAACAGCCCAAGCUUCAGCUGCCAGACAUAUAAAUAAACCAACUCUUCAAAUGAUUUCAGUUUCCAGACUUCAGUGCAUCCCAGGUAAUGUCCAGAGGAGCAGAGAUGAACCAUCCUCUCUGAGCCCUGCCCAAAUGCAGACUUGAGAACAAACUAAAUGUCAUUGUCUCAAGCCACCAAUUUUCAGGGUGGCUUGGUACACAGCACCAGGUAACAGGAAUAGCCCCCCUCUUCCUCUGCAGCUCUCCCCAGGUACAGGCAAGCUCCCCAACCCAUGCUUCAUCCCCACCCCACAGACAGAACCUGGAGUCAGUCCUCCCACCCACAACUGUGCCUUCCAAACUAAGCUCAAAGCCCAGCUCUGUUGCUUUCAGAUGGGUGCCCUAGGGCAAGUCACCAACCCUAUAUGACAAAUCCCUCUGUGUCAAAUGGGAAUUAUAAUAGUGCCCCUGAGGAGUCUUGGAGAGAUUUAAUAAAGUGCCUGGAACAU